This 253-nucleotide ribosomal RNA is filed under the name uncultured bacterium. Its description in RNAcentral is "partial 16S ribosomal RNA". It matches the Rfam family "Bacterial small subunit ribosomal RNA", at positions 524 to 776 of the family's 1533-position model. The record is from RNAcentral.
AACGUAGGACACAAACGUUAUCCGGAGUUACUGGGCGUAAAGGGCGCGUAGGCGGCCGUUUGCGUCGGAUGUGAAAGCCCGGGGCUCAACCUCGGAACGGCAUUCGAUACGGGACGGCUGGAGACCGGGAGAGGAGAGUGGAAUUCCCGGUGUAGCGGUGAAAUGCGCAGAUAUCGGGAGGAACACCCGUAGCGAAGGCGGCACUCUGGGCCGGAACUGACGCUGAGGAGCGAAAGCGUGGGGAGCAAACAGG